CCUACGGUAGGCAGCAGUGAGGAAUAUUGGUCAAUGGGCGUAAGCCUGAACCAGCCAAGUCGCGCGAGGGAUGAAGGUUCUAUGGAUCGUAAACCACUUUUAUAAGGGAAUAAAGUGCGGGACGUGUCCCGUUUUGUAUGUACCUUAUGAAUAAGGAUCGGCUAACUCCGUGCCAGCAGCCGCGGUAAUACGUAGGAUCCGAGCGUUAUCCGGAUUUCUUGUGUUUAAAGGGUGCGUAGGCGGCCUUUUAAGUCAGCGGUGAAAGUCUGUGGCUCAACCCUAGAAUUGCCGUUGAAACUGGGAGGCUUGAGGAUGUUUGAGGCAGGCGGAAUGCGUGGUGUAGCGGUGAAAUGCUUAGAUAUCACGCAGAACCCCGAUUGCGAAGGCAGCCGGCCAAGCCAUGACUGACGCUGAUGCACGAAAGCGUGGGGAUCAAACAGGAUUAGAUACCCCAGUAGUC
RNAcentral lists this ribosomal RNA (460 nucleotides) under uncultured bacterium. RNAcentral's name for it is "partial 16S ribosomal RNA". It matches the Rfam family "Bacterial small subunit ribosomal RNA", at positions 338 to 795 of the family's 1533-position model. The record is from RNAcentral.